Molecule: transfer RNA, 72 nt
Filed under: Cordylochernes scorpioides
Lineage: Eukaryota; Metazoa; Arthropoda; Arachnida; Pseudoscorpiones; Chernetidae
Description: tRNA-Gly
Source: RNAcentral
AGCAUCGGUCGGGAAUCGAACCUGGGCCACCCCGCGUGGCAGGCGAGCAUUCUACCACUGAACCACCGAUUC